RNAcentral lists this ribosomal RNA (264 nucleotides) under uncultured archaeon. Its description in RNAcentral is "partial 16S ribosomal RNA". It matches the Rfam family "Archaeal small subunit ribosomal RNA", at positions 718 to 982 of the family's 1478-position model. The record is from RNAcentral.
AGUCACUGACAUUAGAUACCCCUGUAGUCCCAGCCGUAAACUAUGCGCGUUAGGUGUACUGGUGACCACGAGUCACCGGGGUGCCGUAGGGAAGCCGUGAAGCGAGCCACCUGGGAAGUACGGCCGCAAGGCUGAAACUUAAAGGAAUUGGCGGGGAGCACCACAACGGGUGGAGCUUGCGGUUUAAUUGGAUUCAACGCCGGAAAUCUUACCGGGACCGACAGCAACAUGAAGGCCAGGCUGAAGACUUUGCCGGAUUAGCUG